Molecule: ribosomal RNA, 253 nt
Filed under: uncultured bacterium
Lineage: Bacteria
Description: partial 16S ribosomal RNA
Rfam family: Bacterial small subunit ribosomal RNA
Source: RNAcentral
UACGUAGGUGGCAAGCGUUGUCCGGAAUUACUGGGUGUAAAGGGCGUGUAGGCGGGAGACCAAGUCAGAUGUGAAAUUCCGAGGCUUAACCUCGGCGCUGCAUCUGAAACUGGUUUUCUUGAGUGCUGGAGAGGAAAGCGGAAUUCCUAGUGUAGCGGUGAAAUGCGUAGAUAUUAGGAGGAACACCAGUGGCGAAGGCGGCUUUCUGGACAGUAACUGACGCUGAGGCGCGAAAGCGUGGGGAGCAAACAGG